Long non-coding RNA from Misgurnus anguillicaudatus (oriental weatherfish), 3811 nucleotides. RefSeq lists it as uncharacterized. The record is from RefSeq and is a predicted model, not a curated record. Lineage: Eukaryota; Metazoa; Chordata; Actinopteri; Cypriniformes; Cobitidae.
AAAAAUAACCCAGCCUUUUUUAGAGUGUAGAGGAAUAUUUUUGUUAACUUCUCAUCUUAAGUGAAAUAUUAUUUAACUUUUACCUUAUUUGUUUAACCAUGAUAUUAAUAGAAACUAUAGUAAGAGCUGGACUGUUGCUUUAUUUAUCCAAUUUGAAAAAAGUGCUAAUUUGGAAUAACACUAUGGAAAAAGUGGGCCGGUCUUGGGCCUGAAACUCCCGGGCUGAAAAGUGACCCCACUCCGGCCCUGAUGAAAGCCAUCGCGUGAUCAGGCAGCUCCGGCUUCCCGCAUGCACGCGGACAGAUGAACCUCCUGCCCUGACUGCAGCUGGGAGAGGCACAAAAGUAUCCAAAAGUCUCCAACAACGCCAGAAAAAGUCGGUAGAUUUGUCGCUUUGUUAAAAAUGACUGUUUACCAGGUAUACAGCCACCAGGAAUGAAUGGGGCUAGGCUAAAUCCUAACACAUUCACAAUGCGAUGUACAAAGAUUAAGUGCAUGCAUUGAAAAAAGAUAGGUAUGUAUUAAUUAGUCUAAGUUGAGGUAAGAACAUAGUAAAAUAUUGAAAAACGGUGGGUUUUCCUUUAACAUUACUCUCGCAUCAGCUAUUGUGUAAACACAUUUACCCACAUCACGAAUGACUGCCUGCGCAAGCGCGCACCACAGCCACCAUAAUGAAGUUACUCAGGGUAACGUUAGCUCAGAAUUCGAGUAGUAGCCGUAUAUAUCGGAACUCAGGGCAGAGCACCCGGGUAACGAUAAGCCUAGCUAACAAUCGUCCUGCUAAAUUAGCUAACAUUAGUCAUUUUGCUCGAAGCAUAGACAAACUCUACGCAAGGUCUACGUUUGUGCAUUACUCAGCAUUGACUUGUUCCUAAAAACACAAUAUAAGCGGUAGCUAACGCUAAUUUAAAUCAAGCAAACAAAUAGUUGUUGUUUUUGCUCCAAAAAAGUUGACUUACCUUGAAUAAGAUGGUUCAUUCACGUUAAAAGUGUCCAUCAGACUCGCGUGGUAGCCAGGUGUGUCUCUCAUCCAAAGGACUGCGCUGUCUUCAAGAUUCUGAAGGAAGUGCUAAGAUUCCGAUUGGCCCAGAGAAAAGCAAAUGCUAAGAUUCCGAUUGGACCAGAGAAAAGCAAAUGCUAAGAUUCCGAAUGGCCCAGAGAAAUGUCAAUAAGAAUUAUCCAAUGAUGUUUGGCAAUUCUAGCCCGCAUGGCAUUCAGAUAAAGGGCAGCCUCGCGACCCCCCCCACCACCUCAAAAAAAAAACUCUCCGGUUCUACGCGAUUCACGUGAAUGACCCAAUUGACCAAGAAAACGGCGAUUGUCGCAGAAAAGCGACAAGUUUGCAGGUCUGAUAUAUGUGCUGCACACAUGAUAAAAAUACUGUGCUGCAAGGUGGCUAAAGUUAAAUGUGUGAAGCAAACAAAGGACCUCUUCCUAUACUCAAUGAGUGCGUUUACAUGCACAGUCUUACGCUGAUUAUGUUUAAUAAACUGAUAACACGUGGGGUCAUGUAAACGUGUAAAAUUGUUUUCUUUUAUCUGGGAAAGCCUAUAAACGGCGUAAGCAAAAAAGAUCGGCAGAGGUAGUUUUUUGCUCAUUACCCCGAUUUCGCGUGGCAUGUAAACACAUUAACCUGCUUUCUGGCGGCUUGGGUCAUGUGCGCAUGUGCAUGACUUAAACAUCACACACGGAAGUUAAAGCAAACCGAAACCUAACAUGGCUGCAAAGUGUUCACACUUUUGGAGAGACGAAGAAACUGCUCUAAUGCUAAAUCUAUGAACUAAACAUUAAAGUAUCUACCCUGCUGAAAAAAACAGCAUACCAGCAAGACCAGCAUAUGUUGUGUUUUGGUGCUGGUUUGCUAGUGAACACCAGCUAAACUAGCAUCAAACCAGCAUCAGCACCAGCAUUAGCACCAGCUAAACCAGCAACAAACCAGCAUUAGCACCAGCUAAACCAACAUUAGCACCAGCAUCCCAUGCUGGUCAUACCAGCAUAUGUUGUGUUUUGGUGCUGGUAUGCUGUGACCACCAGCUAAACCAGCAUAGACCAGCAUAAUUCCCAUGCUGGUCCAUGCUGGUUUGAUGCUGUUUUUUUCAGCAGGGUAGAUGGAAGGAAGCAUCAAAAUGCCGAAAUGUUUCAGAAGCUGUCGGAUAAACUGACUUAUGCAGGAUUUCCGAGAACUGUAGAACAAGUACACUGUCGAUGGAAGGCAUUAAAGUCUCUUUAUUAUAAAACCAAGAAACACAACAAAACUAGCGGGUCUGACCCACAGAAAUGCCCUUUCUACAAUGAACUGGACCAGCUUCUUGGCCACAGGCCUCUGUCAUCUAUUGAUGAAAACGCUGUUGACCUUGCUUUUGAAGAAACUUCAGCUGACGUCGACAACACAACAAUGGCUAACACAUCAGAUACUUCUGAUUUGUCUGAGGUGACAGGGACGCCAGCCACAUCCACUGAUGAGGUUUCACAGGCAGAGUCUCAGAAUUGCUGCCAAGUUCACAGAGGCAGUACGUAGACGUCUGGAGUUGCCUGGAUGUCUCAGAACCAAUUGGUUCUUGAAAGGCUCCAACAACAGCAUCAGGAGUGGAUGUCAGCACAGCUUCAGGAGUACCAUAGGAGGGAGGAGAGACUCAUUUCUAAUAUCGUUGAGUCUAGUAUGUGCUCUACUGAGCGCUUUGUCUCCCUCAUGAUUGAUGGACUGCGCAGUGUGUUACCACAACACGUCUUCCCCAACAGGCCCAGUCAUUUUUCCAGGUUUUCAUAGUUCUCCUCCUUCUCCUUCCAUGUAUGGGUUGCAUGUUACUCAGGCAACACAUUUCCGCAGUAGUGAAGAGGAAGAGAGUUUUCUCAACCUCUGAUGUUGUUACUGCAGUUACUCAUGCAGUUUUGUUAAAAGUUCUUACCGAUAAGCUAUAGACCCCUUCAAGGUUUGUAAACAUUUAAUGACUAUCGGGUGCAUGCGCAACAUGGGGUCAAACUGUUUAUACCAUUUAGGCGUUCUAGUUUAAUCUAACAGGGCUGAAAAAUAAUGACUUACCUGAAAUGAAGUGAGCACUACAAACACAAGCCUCUUUGAUCAUUGCAUUGUCCCAGUCUGCGUUUAAUUGCUUGCAGCCACAGAUGUUGUAUUCUGGAGGAAUCCCGAAAAACUUAACGGCAGACCUGGUGCGAUUUUCAAAGCCCACGACGCAAGUAGGCAUUUUUGACGAUACCGAAUAAUACGCAACUCAAUCUGCUGUAAUGACUUUUCUGACCCCGACAUGCGCAGUGGGAACCGCCUGUGACGUGAACUGUGAAGGGGUCUAUACUGAAUAAGCUGUAAUGGGCACAAUAACAUGCUGCUGGUUUUGUAGUUGUAUCCAGGUUUUUAGUUAUGUAAUUAUAUGAAUGGUCUAAUUUUGUUUUCUUACAAGGACUGUUGCAAUAAGGUGUCAUUUUGAGUUUUUGCACACUUGACAGCUACGUCAAGCUGAUAUAUUAAUAGUAUUAUCACAUUUUUUGCCAUAGCAAUGUUAAACAUGUUUGUAUGUGCAAUUGUGUAAAACUACUGUGAAUGUUUGUCCAGUCUAGGACAAGUUUUUUUUUAGGAGGACCUGUUGCAUUAAAGUGUCUUUUUUUACAUACAGGAAAACUACCUCAAGGUGAUAACAUUAUUUCGAUUAUUUUGUUUGCAUAACAAUGUUAAAAACGUGGUUAUAGCACAGUUGAGACUACUUUAAAUAUAUGUCAGUCCUAGGAUCUUCAGUGGAAACAUAGGUUGUUACUGCACUUUGGAACUUCCAGAUAAGCGUACAGUCUUGUUCAAAAU